This is a long non-coding RNA of Passer montanus (Eurasian tree sparrow), 2253 nucleotides long. RefSeq lists it as uncharacterized. The transcript has 6 exons. NCBI's taxonomy places the organism in Eukaryota, Metazoa, Chordata, Aves, Passeriformes, Passeridae. The record is from RefSeq and is a predicted model, not a curated record.
UUGCUCUGUCUUCGGCAGGCUGGGUGAUGUUGUUACUACUACUUUUCUGCUGUCUCAUAUCUCCUACCGCCAUGUGCCAGCUGAUAGGGGAACUGUGACAUACCACACCCCCGCGGCCAGGAAGGGGGUCACAUGGAAUGGUCUCAUCCAGAGCACUUUAAAGAAACUGAUAAGCUCUAUCUCAUUUAACUUGGCCUUUGGAAGACGCUUGUGGAAAUUUCUGCAAAGGAGGUGACAUCAGUUGUUGUCACAGCUGCUGUAAAAUUCUACAGUACUGCCAAAUGAAUUCCAGAUAAAUCCUUCCUGGUUUUCUGUCUCAUUGUGUAUCAAGGCGAUAGCUAGCAUGCUAUCCAGAUCAUUGCUUCAACCAGACCUUACAUUUCCUGUGAAGGAGGAACUCUCUGCUGUCCCCAUGGAAUGAGGAGGACUUGGAUGCAGCACUAAGACUUCUCUCUUCAUCUCUCAUGAGCAGUUGCUGCCUUAUGACCCAGAGAAGUUACUCUUGUCCAAGCUGCUUGUUCAAGGUCUUUUGUUGGGUGAUGCUAUUCCCAUUGCUCUGUCAUGCAGCUGAGGCUCCUUUUGUAUCCUGGCACUCAGAGAUCCUGCCUUCCUUUUGCCCAUGGACAACACAGCUUGUGCUUUGGAAGCGCCGUUGUGGGCUCUCCCAACUGGUGUCUCCCAGAUUUCAACCCUGGGUCCUGUGUUAUGUGGAAGCCUGCAGCAGUCUGGUCUGGAUGAAGAAAAUACCUCAGAAAACCCAAGAGGAAUGCUUGAUUUGAAAGUUUCUCUCAUGAGAUUAUUUUAUCUUUCUAAUAAAAAAAAAAAAAGCUUUAAAAAUAAAAUAAUGAUAAAUCAUUCUGAGAAAACCAAUUCCAAUAUGAUAAAACUCCUACAGUAUGAAGCAAGAACCACUCAAUCAACUGCAAGGAGAAGGGCAUGUUAUUUAAUCAAACAGAGGCUUAGAGAACAGCAUCAAAUAUACAUUUUUGGUAUUUGUUUCCAUUUUUCCUAGUACAUUUCUGUCUGGAUUUCUUUGGUAUUACAUAGACUUGAGUUACAUCUUGUGCAUCUUGUGGAAGAAGAUAGGUAUCCUAAUAGAGCUUUCGAAUAUAGUUAAAAUUACUUCAGCAAGGCUACAGUAGGUCAUUGGCAGAGCUAGGAAAAGAAGUUAGGCAAUGUUUUGCCCAAUUCUGUAUAUUUUAAAUUGCAAACUGGCCUCCCUCCCUGAAUUACAAUGGCAUUGUGAUACCUAAAUGUUCAGAAGUCUAAGCUUUAUAUACUAACCUUAACACAGAGAAUUUAUUGAACAGACUUUAAGAAAAUAUUGCUAUAGCUUCUUUACCAGUUGUGUCCUAACCUGCUUUUUGCAUGGUAUUCAAGGUUAAUUUUGACAACAGAAUUAUCUUUUAGGGUUUUAUAAAAUACCAGGGAUUAAAAGGGACAAAUCUAGACAGGGCAGGAAUUUGCCAGCAGGACAAUGUUCUAAAACAACUUCUGAAAAAUUAACACAUUAUGGAAAUAAAUUAAUUUUUUUUAACAUUGGGCUCUUUUAUUUUUCUUUUAGAAAAGAAAAUGAAGCCUUCCAUUAUAGGACUAUUUAGUUUUGAGUAAAUUAUGUGUUUCCCUUUUGUGGUGUAUUUCUCUAGUCAAUUUAUUUUUUGCAUGCCUAUUGCUCCCAGUUUCUGCUGGUCUGAGCUUGCUUGCCAACUGGUAUUUGCCACUAAGACUCAGAAUCAUGAGAUUUUCUUUGAGGAGCUUGGUACAUUAUGGCAGCCAUUGUCCCACAGAAGAGGAUGAAGGAUGCAGACAUUUACUCCUGUGGGUCUCAUGAAAAAUGCAAUAGUGAAAGAGCCCAGCAAAUUGAAACAAUAUUUUUCAAUUCAUGAAUACUAAAAAUUCAAAUGUCUUCCCAAAAUAAACCCGAAGUUUUAUUUCUUAUUGAAAAUUCUUUAAAAAAUCCCAACAAAACAAAGCAGCUGAUAUUUACUUAAUCAUCCCAAGUUAGGAAAAAAAUGUUGAACAAAAAUAUUUUGUAUAGGAUUACAUUUCCAUAUUUUUUUCAGCUCUAAUUAUGAUAAGGUUGUACAAGGAUUAAUUUUAUUCUUUCUUUGUCUCAUCCUUUUUCCAUCCUAGACAAUGAAAAUAGUUUAAUCUAGCAGUUUUUACUAGCAGUUUUGUGGUCUGUGCACCAGAGCUGGCUUGUAAAACUUUUUCUUUCAGUGGUUUUAUUGUUCAAGAACUGAUGCUUCUUGU